This is an RNA transcript of Gastrolobium bilobum, 1205 nucleotides long. It is a transcript of the gene named sufE-like protein 2, chloroplastic, with no coding region annotated. The record is from RefSeq and is a predicted model, not a curated record. NCBI's taxonomy places the organism in Eukaryota, Viridiplantae, Streptophyta, Magnoliopsida, Fabales, Fabaceae. The transcript is spliced from 3 exons.
ACACACUCUCUCUCUCUCUCUCUCUACCCUCAUGUUUUCAUUUCCCAUUUUUUCUCUGUUUCAAUUCUUUCUCUGAUCUUCCAAAAAUUAAAAAUUAAAAAAAAAAAAAUGGUCUCUUCAACUGCAACGAGUGCCACCUUAUUGACUCUGUCUCAUGCUUCUCCACAUUUAUCUCCUUUCUCAAAACUUAACACGUUUACACCCAAACACACGCAACUCAAAUUCACCGCUACCAACAACAACAACAAAAACAACAACGUUGUUAAUGUCCUAUGUACCUCUCCUUCAACUUCCAGAUUCAGAUUAACGGCUUCUCAAACACUUUCUGCCAACGUUGGUGGUGGCGUCGCCAAUAAGCUUAACUUUCUCGCUUCCGAAUUCGGGUCUCUCUCGGAGCCAAUCGAUCGGGUCAAAAGGCUGCUACAUUACGCGGCUCUCUUACCACCCUUGGAGGAUUCGGAGCGGGUUGUUGAGAACCGGGUCGUGGGUUGCUCCACCCAGGUAUGGGUUGUGGCGGAGAUGGACAACGUUGGGAGGAUGAGGUUCAGAGCCGACAGUGAUUCUGAGAUAUCAAAAGGUUUCUGUUGGUGUUUGGUUUGGAUGUUGGAUGGUGCUGAACCAGAGGAGGUUCUCAUGGUGGAGAAAGAGGAUUUGAUUGGCAUGAACGUUGGGUUGAAUGUUAAGACACGAUCCAGGGUCAACACGUGGCACAACGUUUUGUUUUCCAUGCAAAAAUCUACUAAAGAUUUCAUCUUGCAGAUGCCCAUGGAAUCAACCUCUAUUCAUCGGUGGUGAAGAAGAAUUCAUGCUUUUGGCUCUAAUUUGAUGAUGUAGUAUGUAGGUGUUAACUAGUCUGCAUAUACAGAGCAGUUAAUGGGAAUGCAUAGUCAGUCAUGCAGGUACCAGAUAAUCCAGAGACCGGACUUCAUUGCCUGUGCUGUGAGAGAUUGCCUAUUAGGAUGAAUGGAAUAUGAAUUGAUUAGACGUUUAUUCCAAUCUUGGUACUCAUAAUGAUUUAUUGAUUUUAGAAGAAUUUUAUUCAUAGUGACCUUAGAAAGCUGAGAAACUCUAGAUGUAUUUGAGUAGCAUAGAUUGCAUACAAGUCUCUGUUUGGAUAAUGUAUAUAGAAUAGAAAUUGCUCUUAUGCUUCAAUUGUAAGGCAACCUUCAAAUGUCAUACUAACGGGGAAUAUUUUUAGUAGAAAU